This 841-nucleotide small RNA is filed under the name Pongo abelii (Sumatran orangutan). RNAcentral describes it as "retained intron". Lineage: Eukaryota; Metazoa; Chordata; Mammalia; Primates; Hominidae. The record is from RNAcentral.
GAAAACUUUUAUUAUUUGGAAGGAGAAAGAUAUGCUCUCCUUUGUGGCAACAGGACAGAUGCUGGUCAGUGUCCUGAAGGAUAUGUGUGUGUAAAAGCUGGCAUAAAUCCUGAUCAAGGCUUCACAAAUUUUGACAGUUUUGGCUGGGCCUUAUUUGCCCUAUUUCGGUUAAUGGCUCAGGAUUACCCUGAAGUACUUUAUCACCAGGUAAGAACAGAGAGAAUCUGUACUGUACUUAGGAAUGGCACCAUGCCCUCGCUUCUAAGAUAAUGGUCAAAUGUAAUAUAGUUUUUUAAAUUUUUAUGUGCAGAAGAAUUGGAAGACAAAAGAAAAGAGAACUAGAAUUACUGAAUGUCAAAUUAUAUGCUGGCCACAUUGCCAUGUGUAUUAUAUCUUAUUUAAUCUUUGAAACAAUUCUACAAGGUCAGAGAGAGAGAGAGUAUGUAUUUGUGUGUGUGUGUGUGUUUUUUGUUUGUUUUUUUUUUUUUUGAGACGGAGUCUCGCUCUGUCGCCCAGGCUGGAGUGCAGUAGCACAGGCUGGAGUGCAGUAGCACAAUCUCAGCUCACUGCAAGCUCUGCCUCCCGGGUUCACGGCAUUCACCUGCCUCAGCCUCCCGAGUAGCUGGGACUACAGGCGCCUGCCACCUCGCCCGGCUAAUUUUUUGUAUUUUCAGUAGAGACGGGGUUUCACCGUAUUAGCCAGGAUGGUCUUGAUCUUCUGAUCUCGUGAUCCACCCGCCUCGGCCUCCCAAAGAGCUGGGAUUAAAGGUGUGAGCCACCUCGCCCGGCUGUGUGUGUGCUUUUUAUAUGAAGACACUAAGAUUUGGAGAGGUCGAGUAGC